This 433-nucleotide ribosomal RNA is filed under the name uncultured bacterium. RNAcentral describes it as "partial 16S ribosomal RNA". It matches the Rfam family "Bacterial small subunit ribosomal RNA", at positions 29 to 507 of the family's 1533-position model. The record is from RNAcentral.
AACGAACGCUGGCGGCAUGCCUAACACAUGCCAGUCGAACGAGACCUUCGGGUUUAGUGGCGCACGGGUGCGUAACGCGUGGGAACCUGCCCUUAGGUUCGGAAUAACUACCCGAAAGGGGUGCUAAUACCGGAUAAUGUCUUCGGACCAAAGGUUUAUCGCCUUUGGAUGGGCUCGCGUUGGAUUAGCUAGUUGGUAGGGUAAAAGCAUACCAAGGCGAGGAUCCAUAGCUGGGCUGAGAGGAUGAUCCGCCACACUGGGACUGAGACACGGCCCAGACUCCUACGGAAGGGAGCAGAGGGGAAUACAGGACGAUGGGGGAAAGCCUGAUCCAGCAAUGCCGGGUAAGUGAUGAAGGCCGUAGGGUUGUAAAGCUCUUUUACCCGGGGUGAUAAUGACAGUACCGGGAGAAUAAGCUCCGGCUAACUCCGUG